Long non-coding RNA from Oncorhynchus tshawytscha (Chinook salmon), 613 nucleotides. Lineage: Eukaryota; Metazoa; Chordata; Actinopteri; Salmoniformes; Salmonidae. The record is from Ensembl.
CUUAAGAUCCUUUGUUGUCCUAGGUCUCUGGGAAAUGAGCUGAGCAGAGCUCAGGUUCAGGGAUGGGUAACUCCAGCUGACUAUGUGUUCAGGGCAGGGUCAGGGCAGGGUCAGGGCAGGGCAUGUUGUUGUAUGGACAUCACCACCGCAGUAAAGCAGUGUAAUUCAUCAUUCUGAACCAAGCAGAACAUGAAGGCUGUUAUAAACAAACAAUGAAAUUAACCCUUAUGAUAGGUGGGUGUUUUAGGAUGUUGAAAUUCUCUCUCUGGUUCUUUUGUCUCCUUCUUAAACUAUCACCUCCAAUAUACCAUUCCAAACCCUCUCUCCAGUCAAACCAACUACUCUAACUGGCAUGAAACAAGACAUAGGUAGGAUACAGAACCCAUAGGUAGGAUACAGAACCCAUAAUACAGAACCCAUAGGUAGGAUACAGAACCCAUAGGUAGGAUACAGAACCCAUAGGUCCAUAUAAUAUAUAUAUAUAUAUUAUAUAUAUUAUAUAUAUAGAAUAGAUGAAUCGCUAUGAUAAUGUCCAGCCGUAGAAGAGAUUCAGGUUGGGCUGCUAGUCAGUAACAGUUUCUCUCUCUCAGGACGACCAGCAGUAGGCCUGCAG